RNAcentral lists this long non-coding RNA (1389 nucleotides) under Felis catus (domestic cat). RNAcentral describes it as "lncRNA (ENSFCAG00000051829.1)". Lineage: Eukaryota; Metazoa; Chordata; Mammalia; Carnivora; Felidae. The record is from RNAcentral.
GUCUUGUAGUUGGCAUUAACGUUAUUUGCAUUUUUCCUUUGUGUUUACUUUUUCACUUAUUUCCGUCGGUUAAGUUCCUAAGAGUGAAGUUUCUCAAUUAAAAGGCUAUGCCAGAUUAAUCUGAGAGCUGUGAUGCCAGUGUAUAUUUCCACCAACCGGUAAAAUAAUCCAGUAACGUGGUGGAGACAGAUGCAAUGAGAGUGGCCACGAGUUGACAGAUAAUGUUGGAAAAGUGGGGAAGACUUCGGGGAGCUUCAUAAGGCAUUUGCCUCCAUUCGUCUACACACACAAAAAUAUCCGUUCCAAAAGAAACCAGAAGGUCUGGCAGCUCUCUACAUAUGGGACCAUCUCUUUUUUUGUGUGCCUUGGGAAGGACAGCUCGCUUCUAAGUGGCAGGCACUACUGGUAAGCAAUAAAGAUCAUUUCUAUCUGAUGGGCUCUGUGCUGAGAGCUCGGAGCCUGGAGCCUGCUUCGGAUUCUGUGUCUCCCUCUCUCUCUGCCCCUCCCCCUUUCACGCUCUGUCUCUCUCAAAAAGAAAUAAACUUUCCAAAAAUGUUUUUUUCGAUAAAAAUAUUUUUUUUUUUAAAAGAUCGUUUCUGUCCGAGCCAACGAAAUCUCUAGCUGAGUGAUAAAAGUCACAUCACCAGACUAUGGGAUUUUCCCUUUUCUCUAUUUUCACAUUCUUGACUGUGCAACGAUGGCCUUGAGGUGAACCAUCCAGAGGCUACAGGAGCAAACAAACCCUUAUUUGCUCUGACAAUGACCUCAGCUUCAGGAAAAACCCAGGUCUGAGGUAUACACACUCAUCUCAUACAGCCGUCGUCCCUUGAACAACUUUCAGAAGAGGCACAUUCUGUCUAGAGUGGUGCAGUCUUCUCUAGACCCUACUAAUCACACGCAGUGUUUCAGUCUGGCCCCUGUAGUCUCAUCACAAGUGACACCAGCAAACCAAAUUCUGGACAUUAGGGUACACGGUUCCUUUGCAGUACUUGGGGAACGCCCUCCCCUCAGUAGUGCUGGGCAUUAUGUGACAUGCCCUGGGUACAAUGGAACCAAUUUUUCUUUUUCCCCAAAGUCCUGAAGCUUGUCACAACAAUUUCCCCUUCCCCAGGGUGACCUCUGGACCUAAAACAUAAACACACACACACACACACACACACACACACACACACACACACACACAAAACCCCUGAGAUCCAGGCCACAAAAUAGGACCACAAACUGUUGUAGCCGUUCCUAGGUGGCCUUUGUCCGCUCUGCAGAUUAAAUAAGAGCUGACAGAAAGAUGUUUUCACAAGUUUCCAGUCUUAUCCAGACUGGGUCUUCUCGGCCAAAACUGUGUGAAGACUAUGUCUUAACUAGUCAGAGAGGAGAGAAUGAGGCCCCCUA